GCGCUUGUAGUGUAGUGGUUUUCACACAACUCUUCCAAAGUUGAGACCCGGUUUCGAUUACCGGCAGGCGCA
Non-coding RNA from Talaromyces islandicus, 72 nucleotides. NCBI's taxonomy places the organism in Eukaryota, Fungi, Ascomycota, Eurotiomycetes, Eurotiales, Trichocomaceae. The record is from the annotation of a GenBank genome assembly.